Molecule: long non-coding RNA, 368 nt
Filed under: Mytilus galloprovincialis (Mediterranean mussel)
Lineage: Eukaryota; Metazoa; Mollusca; Bivalvia; Mytilida; Mytilidae
Source: RNAcentral
GAAGGCAUCAAUUCGUGCAAAGGAAAGAAUAAAAUCAUGGACUCGUUAAAGUUUAAUUCAGAUUCCUAUUUUUGUGUUUUGAAGAGACAGUAAUUCCUGCAAGUGUAAAAUUAAAUUUCUUUUCUUUAUUGAUGAACAUUUAAAGUAAUAUUCUAUUGUUUUGUACAUAAAUACACUUUGCAGGCCCCAGUAUGUUGAGAAUAGUUCGAAGUUAUAACGUUACGUUUCCCGUAUUUACGUUCACAUGUUUGUGACGUUUCUUACACCUUGUAUGGGCUUCGCCAUUGUAAAUAUUAUACGCAAAGUAAACACAACGCAAAGUACAUAUACGACUUAUUUAGUUUAUUCCACACAACUAUAAAGGGCAA